AGGAUUAACGCUGGCGGCGUGCAUGAGACAUGCAAGUCGAACGGACACUCGGGGCUUGCUCUGAGUGUUAGUGGCGGACGGCUGAGUAACGCGUAGGUGACCUGCCCCGAAGUGGGGAAUAACUGCCCGAAAGGGUGGCUAAUACCGCAUGUGGUGAUGCGUUCAUUCGCAUCAGUAAAGCCGCAAGGCGCUUCGGGAGGGCCUGCGUCCGAUUAGCUCGUUGGUGAGGUAACGGCUCACCAAGGCGACGAUCGGUAGGUGGUCUGAGAGGACGAUCACCCAGACUGGGACUGAGACACGGCCCAGACUCCUACGGGAGCAGCAGUC
Molecule: ribosomal RNA, 327 nt
Filed under: uncultured soil bacterium
Lineage: Bacteria
Description: bacterial SSU rRNA
Rfam family: Bacterial small subunit ribosomal RNA
Source: RNAcentral